GGAUUAGAUACCCUGGUAGUCCACGCCGUAAACGGUGGGCGCUAGUUGUGCGAACCUUCCACGGUUUGUGCGACGCAGCUAACGCAUUAAGCGCCCCGCCUGGGGAGUACGAUCGCAAGAUUAAAACUCAAAGGAAUUGACGGGGCCCCGCACAAGCAGCGGAGCAUGCGGCUUAAUUCGACGCAACGCGAAGAACCUUACCAAGGCUUGACAUAUACAGGAAUAUGGCAGAGAUGUCAUAGCCGCAAGGUCUGUAUACAGGUGGUGCAUGGUUGUCGUCAGCUCGUGCCG
RNAcentral lists this ribosomal RNA (291 nucleotides) under uncultured bacterium. RNAcentral describes it as "partial 16S ribosomal RNA". It matches the Rfam family "Bacterial small subunit ribosomal RNA", at positions 775 to 1067 of the family's 1533-position model. The record is from RNAcentral.